Rattus norvegicus (Norway rat) is the source of this 681-nucleotide long non-coding RNA. RefSeq lists it as uncharacterized. The record is from RefSeq and is a predicted model, not a curated record. Lineage: Eukaryota; Metazoa; Chordata; Mammalia; Rodentia; Muridae.
GAAUCCAGACUGAACUUUUGAAGUGUGGGUCCUAGUGUUCACAUUCUACUCAGAAUUCUGCAGUGGCUCCCCUCUCCCUCAGAAGCCCGUCUUAAUAGGAAGUCCUCCUUGCCUCUUAUUUUCUUCCAUAAUACUUAUCUCGAGCAGCUGACUAGAUUUUAUGGCUUUCUGUCACCACCAUUGAAUGUUCUGACCAUUGAGGCUACUGACUAGUUAUACCAUUUAACUAGUGUGAUGGUUUGUACAUGCUCGGCCCAGGGAGUGGCACUAUUAGGAGUUGUGGCCCCGUUGGAGUAAAUGUGUCAUUGUGGGCGUGGGCUUUAAGACCCUCAUCCUAGCUGCCUGGAAGCCAGUCUUCUCCUACUGGACUUCAGAUGAAGAUGUAGAGCUCUCAGCUACUCCUGCACCAUGCCUGCCUGGAUGCUGCCAUGUUCCUGCCUUGAUGAUAAUGGACAGAACCUCUGAACCUAUAUGGCAUACCGAGCUGGAAAGAUCCAGGAAUGUGUUUCAACCCGGACAUUUUACAGAUGAAAACAAGGACCAAAGGGAAGGUGCCGGCUGGAGACUGGAAAUUCUCUUCCCUCCCUGUAUACCCAGUCCUCCCUCUCCCCACAAACUGACUUUUACUGUAUACCCAAUCGGCCUAUUAAAUCAAGAGGUUUUCUCCUCUUUGCUCUCUUA